RNAcentral lists this long non-coding RNA (483 nucleotides) under Oryza sativa (Asian cultivated rice). Its description in RNAcentral is "long non-coding RNA (OSAT_LNC000635)". The stretch from base 70 to 200 matches the Rfam family "MIR1120/MIR1122 microRNA precursor family". The record is from RNAcentral. Lineage: Eukaryota; Viridiplantae; Streptophyta; Magnoliopsida; Poales; Poaceae.
AACCUACCAAAUUGAACAUUAAGAGGUGUACCAACUCAGUCAUAUAGUAUGACCACGAUAACUUAAAAUACACUACUACCUCCGUCCCAAAAUGCUGCUACCUAGUAUGGGAUUUGACCCAUCCUAGGACUAACAGUUAGUCCUAGGAUGGGUCAAAUCCCAUACUAGGUAGCAGCAUUUUAGGACGGAGGAAGUAAUUUUAACAAUGAAUUUUUGAAGUGGACAUAUAUCAAGCACAUAUAUCAAGAUAAGCACUUUAUUUCACUAGUCGUCAAAGAUAAUGAGGAUCCCUGCCUAAGUGUAUUUAGAUAAAAACAAACCAUUCUGAACAAAAGUAUCAUGUGUUCAAUAGGUCAUUGUCUGUCAUGAUUUUUUCUGAACUGCUAGCCUUUACAAAAUUAGCUUGAUCACAGAACAAAGCUUGAAAUGCCUAAUUCCUAGUGUAUGAUAUAUAUACAGCGGAUUAUAUCAAGAGGAAGACAU